This 69-nucleotide transfer RNA is filed under the name Camelus bactrianus (Bactrian camel). It matches the Rfam family "tRNA". Rfam says of the family: Transfer RNA (tRNA) molecules are approximately 80 nucleotides in length. Their secondary structure includes four short double-helical elements and three loops (D, anti-codon, and T loops). Further hydrogen bonds mediate the characteristic L-shaped molecular structure. tRNAs have two regions of fundamental functional importance: the anti-codon, which is responsible for specific mRNA codon recognition, and the 3' end, to which the tRNAs corresponding amino acid is attached (by aminoacyl-tRNA synthetases). tRNAs cope with the degeneracy of the genetic code in two manners: having more than one tRNA (with a specific anti-codon) for a particular amino acid; and 'wobble' base-pairing, i.e. permitting non-standard base-pairing at the 3rd anti-codon position. Lineage: Eukaryota; Metazoa; Chordata; Mammalia; Artiodactyla; Camelidae. RNAcentral also lists the same sequence under 3 other names. The record is from Rfam by way of RNAcentral.
GGAAUAGCUCAAUGGUAGAGCACGUGCUUUGCAUGCCUGAGAUCCUGGGUUCAAUCCCCAGUACCUCCA